RNAcentral lists this ribosomal RNA (440 nucleotides) under uncultured bacterium. Its description in RNAcentral is "partial 16S ribosomal RNA". It matches the Rfam family "Bacterial small subunit ribosomal RNA", at positions 338 to 795 of the family's 1533-position model. The record is from RNAcentral.
CCUACGGGUGGCAGCAGUAGGGAAUAUUGCUCAAUGGGGGAAACCCUGAAGCAGCAACGCCGCGUGGAGGAUGAAGGUUUUCGGGUUGUAAACUCCUUUUGUUAGAGAAGAUAAUGACGGUAUCUAACGAAUAAGCACCGGCUAACUCCGUGCCAGCAGCCACGGUAAUACGGAGGGUGCAAGCGUUACUCGGAAUCACUGGGCGUAAAGAGCGCGUAGGAGGGAUAGCAAGUCAGAUGUGAAAUCCUAUGGCUUAACGAUAGAACUGCAUUUGAAACUGUUAGUCUAGAGUACGGGAGGGGUAGGUGGAAUUCGUGGUGUAGGGGUAAAAUCCGUAGAGAUCAAGAGGAAUACUCAUUGCGAAGGCGACCUGCGAGACCAUAACUGACGCUGAUGCGCGAAAGCGUGGGGAGCAAACAGGAUUAGAUACCCCUGUAGUC